AGAGUUUGAUCCUGGCUCAGGACGAACGCUGGCGGCGUGCCUAAUACAUGCAAGUCGAACGCACUGACGGAGAACUUGUUCUCUUGACGUGAGUGGCGCACGGGUGAGUAACACGUGGGAAACCUACCCUUCAGCGGGGGAUAACCAUCGGAAACGAUGACUAAUACCGCAUAGACGACAGAACCGCCUGGUUCAAUCGGGAAAGACGGCUUCGGCUGUCACUGAAGGAUGGUCCCGCGCUGCAUUAGCUAGUUGGUAAGGUAACGGCUUACCAAGGCGAUGAUGCAUAGCCGACCUGAGAGGGUGAUCGGCCACAUUGGGACUGAGACACGGCCCAAACUCCUACGGGAGGCAGCAGUAGGGAAUCUUCCGCAAUGGACGCAAGUCUGACGGAGCAACGCCGCGUGUGUGAAGAAGGUUUUCGGAUCGUAAAGCACUGUUAUUAGAGAAGAACAGCCGAUAGAGUAACUGUUAUCGGUUUGACGGUAUCUAACCAGAAAGUGACGGCUAACUACGUGCCAGCAGCCGCGGUAAUACGUAGGUCACAAGCGUUGUCCGGAUUUAUUGGGCGUAAAGGGAGCGCAGGCGGUUUGUUAAGUCUGAUGUGAAAGCCCACGGCUCAACCGUGGAACGGCAUUGGAAACUGGCAAACUUGAGUAUAGAAGAGGAAAGUGGAAUUCCAUGUGUAGCGGUGAAAUGCGUAGAUAUAUGGAGGAACACCAGUGGCGAAGGCGACUUUCUGGUCUAUAACUGACGCUGAGGCUCGAAAGCGUGGGGAGCGAACAGGAUUAGAUACCCUGGUAGUCCACGCCGUAAACGAUGAGUGUUAAGUGUUGGGGGGCUUCCACCCCUCAGUGCUGGCGUUAACGCAAUAAACACUCCGCCUGGGGA
RNAcentral lists this ribosomal RNA (891 nucleotides) under uncultured Facklamia sp. RNAcentral describes it as "bacterial SSU rRNA". It matches the Rfam family "Bacterial small subunit ribosomal RNA", at positions 8 to 879 of the family's 1533-position model. Lineage: Bacteria; Bacillati; Bacillota; Bacilli; Lactobacillales; Aerococcaceae. The record is from RNAcentral.